Molecule: ribosomal RNA, 467 nt
Filed under: uncultured bacterium
Lineage: Bacteria
Description: partial 16S ribosomal RNA
Rfam family: Bacterial small subunit ribosomal RNA
Source: RNAcentral
GACGAACGCUGGCGGCGUGCUUAACACAUGCGAGUCGAACGGAAAGGCCUCUUUCGGGGGGUACUCGAGUGGCGAACGGGUGAGUAACACGUGAGUAACCUGCCCUUGACUUUGGGAUAACUUCAGGAAACUGGGGCUAAUACCGGAUAGGAGCUCCUGCUGCAUGGUGGGGGUUGGAAAGUUUCGGCGGUUGGGGAUGGACUCGCGGCUUAUCAGCUUGUUGGUGGGGUAGUGGCUUACCAAGGCUUUGACGGGUAGCCGUCCUGAGAGGGUGACCGGCCACAUUGGGACUGAGAUACGGCCCAGACUCCUACGGGAGGCAGCAGUGGGGAAUAUUGCACAAUGGGUGGAAGCCUGAUGCAGCAACGCCGUGUGCGGGAUGACGGCCUUCGGGUUGUAAACCGCUUUCGCUCAUGACGAAGCUUUGUGUGACGGUAGUGGGUAAAGAAGCACCGGCUAACUACGUG